This 72-nucleotide transfer RNA is filed under the name Camelus bactrianus (Bactrian camel). It matches the Rfam family "tRNA". From Rfam's summary of the family: Transfer RNA (tRNA) molecules are approximately 80 nucleotides in length. The record is from Rfam by way of RNAcentral. Lineage: Eukaryota; Metazoa; Chordata; Mammalia; Artiodactyla; Camelidae. RNAcentral also lists the same sequence under 3 other names.
GUGGAUAUAGCUCAGUGGUAGAGUGUGUGCUUAGCAUGCACAAGGUCCUAGGUUCAAUCCCCAGUACCUCUU